This 264-nucleotide unclassified non-coding RNA is filed under the name Hevea brasiliensis (rubber tree). Lineage: Eukaryota; Viridiplantae; Streptophyta; Magnoliopsida; Malpighiales; Euphorbiaceae. The record is from RNAcentral.
GCAAAUUUGACGCUUGCAUUAUGAAUGGAAGCUAUUCGGCCAUGGAACAGAUAAGAUCAGUGGUUCUCAUUCUUGCUGACGGAUUGAGCAGGCGCAUCGUGACCUCAGUGACUGGAGGGAAGGUGACUGGUAUCCUGAGAAAGCAUCCUCAUCUCUGUCUGUGUGAGUUAUGCUUUUGACAAAUGUGACCAUAUCAGAUCCAGCUACAACCAGACAAAAGGUUACCAAUUCCAUGAAUAUUGUCAAGGAUUUCAUAUGAUUAAG